UUGUGCUAGGCGGGGAGCUAGCGGUGCCCUAUUCCCGAAAUCCGCUCAUGCGGGGCUGAAUCCCCUCUGAAGGAUCUUAAACAUGGAAAGCGUAGCGCAUUUUGAUCGGGCGCCACGCAACAAACGGUCACGAACCUCGUCAGGUCCGGAAGGAAGCAGCGAUAAGUGACGCAGUUUGUGUCGUGGACCGACUCCGGUCAUCUGGAUGCCUUACCAAUUCCAUCAAGAUUCGACAGCGGGUGCACAA
This 247-nucleotide signal recognition particle RNA is filed under the name Deltaproteobacteria bacterium. Its description in RNAcentral is "signal recognition particle sRNA large type". It matches the Rfam family "Bacterial large signal recognition particle RNA". From Rfam's summary of the family: The signal recognition particle (SRP) is a universally conserved ribonucleoprotein involved in the co-translational targeting of proteins to membranes. Lineage: Bacteria; Pseudomonadati; Myxococcota; Myxococcia. RNAcentral also lists the same sequence under 1 other name. The record is from RNAcentral.